Long non-coding RNA from Notolabrus celidotus (New Zealand spotty), 384 nucleotides. RefSeq lists it as uncharacterized. Lineage: Eukaryota; Metazoa; Chordata; Actinopteri; Labriformes; Labridae. The record is from RefSeq and is a predicted model, not a curated record. The transcript has 2 exons.
GGUACAGUUUGAGGAUGGGCAAGCUGAUAUUAAGUGACUCAUUCUAAGGGGACUUUUGUUUCAGCCCUGUGUAAAGAGUCAAUCAAAUAUAAAUUAUCUCCUUUUCUCCAAAAAUUAUAAAACACAUGUUGUAUUAAAUGUCGUGAGACAAAGAAGCACGCUCGUGCAGUCCAUCAGCCUAGAAGUGUCUGCGCAGGUGCAUCACUCUCUUACCUGACAGCAGCAUCCCGGACCCGGACCCGGACUCGCCUCCAAACUCCCCCGGUGCGUCGUCAGAAGCCUGUCCUCCUCCUGAAGCUGCAUCACGUCACUGAGCAGAGGCCCCGCCCCUCUCUUCUAAUCUGGACCAAUUAAAAUCUUGCAGGGCCUCCGCCCAUUCUGUUU